RNAcentral lists this unclassified non-coding RNA (1514 nucleotides) under Venturia canescens. Its description in RNAcentral is "rILP-like protein homolog, transcript variant X2". Lineage: Eukaryota; Metazoa; Arthropoda; Insecta; Hymenoptera; Ichneumonidae. The record is from RNAcentral.
CAAGUUCUCAAAAACAUUCGAACUUUUUUCAAACGAACAUAAAACGAAUAAGUGAUAUCAAAGUUAAAAAUCGACUUUGAACAAACCUGAAUUUAUUACACAUCUUCAGAGACUGCGCAGUUUUUUUUUGUUUCGUGUGACGUGUGACGCGAGCGCCACCACACUGUGUAUAUACAUACAUGACAUUAGUGAACGUUUGAUUCAGAUUGAGUAGAAAAAUUGAAGGAAUUCGGUGUAAUGGGCGGAUGACGAAUCCUUCUGGAUCGAACCGUGUUAAACCUCGUCGUCCUACCGAGUGAUACAUCGUUGUUCUUCUUGUAAACGUAAAGAAAAAAGAGAAAGAGUCAGGAGUGAUAGGAAGCUCAUGAUUUCAUUAGACUGCAACUUCUAAGUGGUAUUAAUGCCUUUUCACCUGAGAAGAAACUCUGUUCCGGAAAUGGAGGAAUAUUCCGCAACCUCUGACGUCUCCGUUGUCGAUGUCUAUGACAUUGCGUCGGAGAUUGGCAAAGAGUGUGAAAAGCUGAUAGAUUUGUUUGGCGCGGAUGCUGUAACUGGCCUCAUGCCCAAAGUAAUCAAUGCUCUUGAAUUACUGGAAAAUCUUGCAACUAAGAAUGAGAGAGAAAUUACGGCCGUACAGGAAUUAACCGCCAAGAUUUCACAACUGGAGACGGAUAAAAUUGGGAAAGCCGAAGAUAGACAGAGGUUUGAGAAGGAAGUAGAACAAACAGAAGAGCAUUGGAGACAAGAAUCUCGAGAUCUGGUUGGGAUGGUGACAAGAUUACAGGAUGAGAAUCGUCGUUUGUCGGCGGCAUUGCAGGAGUCACGUAGCGAUACUCAGGACAGCGGUAAACAAACUUUUACAGCAGCUAGUCAAGAAGUCGACAUCGCAGUGUUGCAACAUCUGAGGAGCAUGAUAGACAAGCAAAGGGAUCAAAUUCGAGCGAGAGAUCGAGAGUUAUCGCAGAAGAACAUGGAAAUCGAAAAUUUGACCGUACAAGUCGAAAAAUUGUCAUCUCUCGGUCGUGAAUUGAAACGAAAGCAACGUCAAGCUCAGAUGCAGUCACGAGGUCUCGUCGAGGAGAGGGCAGAUUUUCUUGCUCAAUUACAGGAUCAAAAUCGCGAACUUAUUAAUUUAAGAGCCCGACUUGGUCUCGCCCGCAAGGAGAAUGAAGAUCUGACAAAAUCUCACUGCUACCCGGAUCUUACGAACAAAGUAGUCUACGAUCUCGACGAUCCGGACAGGCCUAGAUUUACAACCGCUGAGCUUAAAGAGAUUUUGCACGAGAGAAACGAGUUGAAAGCUCGAGUUUCCGACCUCGAGGAUGAGCUCGAACUCUACCGACCCAAACCUGAAACGCAGUGGGAUACCAGCGAUCCUGACUAACGUUUACGCACCUGAGGACGAGAGGGAUUUACCGGUUCAGGGUCCAUUGCCGGAUGAACCUGAUGACGCGCCGUGGAAAAAAUCGUCAGAGUCUGGAAUACGAAAAUUCUUCCGAAAAAUAUUUUCUGAG